UGACGAGCGGCGGACGGGUGAGUAAUGUCUGGGAAACUGCCUGAUGGAGGGGGAUAACUACUGGAAACGGUAGCUAAUACCGCAUAAUGUCGCAAGACCAAAGUGGGGGACCUUCGGGCCUCAUGCCAUCAGAUGUGCCCAGAUGGGAUUAGCUAGUAGGUGGGGUAACGGCUCACCUAGGCGACGAUCCCUAGCUGGUCUGAGAGGAUGACCAGCCACACUGGAACUGAGACACGGUCCAGACUCCUACGGGAGGCAGCAGUGGGGAAUAUUGCACAAUGGGCGCAAGCCUGAUGCAGCCAUGCCGCGUGUGUGAAGAAGGCCUUCGGGUUGUAAAGCACUUUCAGCGGGGAGGAAGGCGAUAAGGUUAAUAACCUUGUCGAUUGACGUUACCCGCAGAAGAAGCACCGGCUAACUCCGUGCCAGCAGCCGCGGUAAUACGGAGGGUGCAAGCGUUAAUCGGAAUUACUGGGCGUAAAGCGCACGCAGGCGGUCUGUCAAGUCGGAUGUGAAAUCCCCGGGCUCAACCUGGGAACUGCAUUCGAAACUGGCAGGCUAGAGUCUUGUAGAGGGGGGUAGAAUUCCAGGUGUAGCGGUGAAAUGCGUAGAGAUCUGGAGGAAUACCGGUGGCGAAGGCGGCCCCCUGGACAAAGACUGACGCUCAGGUGCGAAAGCGUGGGGAGCAAACAGGAUUAGAUACCCUGGUAGUCCACGCCGUAAACGAUGUCGAUUUGGAGGUUGUGCCCUUGAGGCGUGGCUUCCGGAGCUAACGCGUUAAAUCGACCGCCUGGGGAGUACGGCCGCAAGGUUAAAACUCAAAUGAAUUGACGGGGGCCCGCACAAGCGGUGGAGCAUGUGGUUUAAUUCGAUGCAACGCGAAGAACCUUACCUGGUCUUGACAUCCACAGAACUUUCCAGAGAUGGAUUGGUGCCUUCGGGAACUGUGAGACAGGUGCUGCAUGGCUGUCGUCAGCUCGUGUUGUGAAAUGUUGGGUUAAGUCCCG
This 1004-nucleotide ribosomal RNA is filed under the name Klebsiella sp. RNAcentral describes it as "bacterial SSU rRNA". It matches the Rfam family "Bacterial small subunit ribosomal RNA", at positions 89 to 1089 of the family's 1533-position model. Lineage: Bacteria; Pseudomonadati; Pseudomonadota; Gammaproteobacteria; Enterobacterales; Enterobacteriaceae. The record is from RNAcentral.